This 370-nucleotide small RNA is filed under the name Cryptococcus neoformans H99. RNAcentral's name for it is "Cryptococcus neoformans var. grubii H99 hypothetical RNA". The record is from RNAcentral. Lineage: Eukaryota; Fungi; Basidiomycota; Tremellomycetes; Tremellales; Cryptococcaceae.
GCUGAACUCUGCUGGUAAAAAUUGAAAGAGAGACAAGGAUUGUUCUAUAGCUUGCUGGUAUAAUACCCGACCACCCAUUCGCGGCAAUCGCCUCCGGCGAUAAGCAGUAUGAGGUUUCUUUUUCCUUCGCUCUUCUUCAAGGUUCCUUUGGUAGUCUUCUUAUAUAUUUGAUAUCUCCACCGUUCGCGCCCAAUUUUGUUACUCGCAGGGAUCUCAUAUCCACAGUGGAUCAGAUACAAAAGAAUCACAAAACAUGGAUUCUCUUUCGACAAUCAAGGUAAGAAGAGAGGGACAAUUGACAUGAGUGCAUGGUGAGUAACCACCGUAGAUACCCUAUACAUUAGACUGGUUGCAUACAGUGGCCGUCCGU